GGUGAAUAUGNAUGGGAUCUGCCUGAUGAGGGAUACUACUGAACGGUAGCUAUACGCAUAUGUUACGGACAAGCGGGGAUCUCGGGCUCGCGCAUCGAUGAACUCUAUGGAUUAGCUUGUAGGUGAGUACGGUCACCUAGGCGAAGAUCCCUACUGGUCUGAGAGGAUGAUCAGCCACCUGGGACUGAGACACGGCAAACUCCUACGGGAGCCAGUGGGGAAUAUUGCACCAUGGGCGCCAGCCUGAUGCACCAUGCCGGGUGUAUGAAGAANGCCUUCGGGUUGUAAAGUACUUUCAGUCGGGAGGAAGGUGGUAAGGUUAAUAACCUUAUCAAUUGACGUUACCGACAGAAGAAGCACCGGCUAACUCCGUGCCAGCAGCCGCGGUAAUACGGAGGGUGCAACGUUAAUCGGAAUUAACUGGGCGUUAAGCGCACGCAGCGGGUUGAUUGAGUCAAUGUGAAAUCCCCGGGCUUAACCCGGGAAUUGCAUCUGAUACUGGUCAGCUAGAGUCUUGUAAAGGGGGGUAGAAUUCCACUGUGUANGCGGUGAAAUGCGUUAAAAAUGUGGAGAAUUAACCGGUUGGCCGAAAGGCGGGCA
This 600-nucleotide ribosomal RNA is filed under the name uncultured bacterium. Its description in RNAcentral is "bacterial SSU rRNA". It matches the Rfam family "Bacterial small subunit ribosomal RNA", at positions 105 to 726 of the family's 1533-position model. The record is from RNAcentral.